This 1470-nucleotide ribosomal RNA is filed under the name metagenome. RNAcentral describes it as "bacterial SSU rRNA". It matches the Rfam family "Bacterial small subunit ribosomal RNA". The record is from RNAcentral.
AGAGUUUGAUCCUGGCUCAGGACGAACGCUGGCGGCACGCUUAACACAUGCAAGUCGAACGAGAGAAGAGGAGCUUGCUUUUCUGAUCUAGUGGCGGACGGGUGAGUAACACGUGAGCAAUCUGCCUUUCAGAGGGGGAUACCGAUUGGAAACGAUCGUUAAUACCGCAUAACAUAAUUGAACCGCAUGAUUUGAUUAUCAAAGAUUUAUCGCUGAAAGAUGAGCUCGCGUCUGAUUAGCUAGUUGGUAAGGUAACGGCUUACCAAGGCGACGAUCAGUAGCCGGACUGAGAGGUUGAUCGGCCACAUUGGGACUGAGACACGGCCCAGACUCCUACGGGAGGCAGCAGUGGGGAAUAUUGCACAAUGGAGGAAACUCUGAUGCAGCGAUGCCGCGUGAGGGAAGAAGGUUUUAGGAUUGUAAACCUCUGUCUUCAGGGACGAAAAAAGACGGUACCUGAGGAGGAAGCUCCGGCUAACUACGUGCCAGCAGCCGCGGUAAUACGUAGGGAGCGAGCGUUGUCCGGAAUUACUGGGUGUAAAGGGAGCGUAGGCGGGAUCGCAAGUCAGAUGUGAAAACUAUGGGCUUAACCCAUAAACUGCAUUUGAAACUGUGGUUCUUGAGUGAAGUAGAGGUAAGCGGAAUUCCUAGUGUAGCGGUGAAAUGCGUAGAUAUUAGGAGGAACAUCAGUGGCGAAGGCGGCUUACUGGGCUUUAACUGACGCUGAGGCUCGAAAGCGUGGGGAGCAAACAGGAUUAGAUACCCUGGUAGUCCACGCCGUAAACGAUGAUUACUAGGUGUGGGGGGACUGACCCCUUCCGUGCCGCAGCAAACGCAAUAAGUAAUCCACCUGGGGAGUACGACCGCAAGGUUGAAACUCAAAGGAAUUGACGGGGGCCCGCACAAGCAGUGGAGUAUGUGGAUUAAUUCGAAGCAACGCGAAGAACCUUACCAGGUCUUGACAUCGUAUGCAUAGCUCAGAGAUGAGUGAAAUCUCUUCGGAGACAUAUAGACAGGUGGUGCAUGGUUGUCGUCAGCUCGUGUCGUGAGAUGUUGGGUUAAGUCCCGCAACGAGCGCAACCCUUACUGUUAGUUGCUACGCAAGAGCACUCUAGCAGGACUGCCGUUGACAAAACGGAGGAAGGUGGGGAUGACGUCAAAUCAUCAUGCCCCUUAUGACCUGGGCCUCACACGUACUACAAUGGCUGUCAACAGAGGGAAGCAAAGCCGCGAGGUGGAGCGAACCCCUAAAAGCAGUCUUAGUUCGGAUUGUAGGCUGCAACCCGCCUACAUGAAGUCGGAAUUGCUAGUAAUCGCAGAUCAGCAUGCUGCGGUGAAUACGUUCCCGGGCCUUGUACACACCGCCCGUCACGCCAUGGGAGUCGGUAACACCCGAAGCCUGUAGUCUAACCGCAAGGAGGACGCAGUCGAGGGUGGGAUUGAUGACUGGGGUGAAGUCGUAACAAGGUA